CUCCAAAGCAGACGGUGUCUGUACAGCAGCUCCACACAAGUUUCAUUUCGGACUAUACGGCAUCAAGCUAUCUAUCUAAGUUGUUUCUAUUUUCAUGGAUUUAACUUCAACCACAGCCCAUCUUCAGUUACUUCGGGUGCUGAUCCAGCAGUCUGUGGACCUCCGAGGACCCCAGAAACCUAUAGAUCUGCCACUGAACAGCUGGAAAGAGAAGACGUGUCAGAAGUACAGGGGAUAAAAUUCAGAUAUGGCUGAAUCACAGGUGCUAAAGAACAUAGGGGAUGCGAUAGCAGGAGUGCUUCCGGACCUUCCUGAUCAACUUGUCAAGUCAGUUGAAGAUACUUUGAAAACACUUGGUGCCGCAACCACAGAUGAUUUAAAGUACAUUACAGAAAAUGACUUGCUGCCAGUGUUAAAGCCCAUACAAGCCCGAAGACUGGUUGCUGCCUGGACCCAAAAUAGAUAUCAUUCUCUGGUGAAACAACUUCAGGCAAGAGUUGAAAAUGUCAAGCGACCUGACACACCAAAGGUUAUAAAGCGCAAAGCAGCAUCAGAUGAUGAUGACACAGAUGAAAUACCUGCAGAAAAAAAAGCAAGUGUUCAAGACACCUAUGGCUGUAUUAGCUGGGAGCCAAAGCCUUUGCCACUCUCUGAGACUGUGGAGAGUCAGCUUGAAAAAAAAGAAGAAAUGAAGACAUUGUUUAAAAAGAACUACAGUACAGAUGUUGUGAAAAAACUAGUCAAGUGCACCUAUUACACCCAGCGUAAAGACAUCAACAAAGGGGCAAGCAUCCAGAAACUAUGUCAGGAAUGGCCCUUUCUCUUCAAUGAAGUUGGUAUGCCAGCACAUUUCCAAGAGCUGACUGGUGUGAAUCUGAUGGAGACCUUCCUUGCCAAUGUAGACAAAAAGGGGGCACGUCUGUUAAAGUUCCUGAGAAAUGUUGAUGCACAAAAACGCAAACAAGUCCUGAAUGCUCUUCUCAAGCUUCAGCCUGAAAGAGGUCAGUCCAGUGGUUGUUCGCAAGAAGUCAUUGAGAUGCUGCUUCUUUACUGGCUCAUUUUGAUGAGAAGGAAGAGCUUCUGUUUCACUGUGUUGAGACAACAAGCCUUGCACAGGAUGUUCAGAUGGAGAAAGUGCCACCAACACCCUUUAUUAUUGUUUGUGGUUCCUCCUGCUUCGCUGCUGAGACAUUCAUGUUGAGCAUCGACAAGAAGAUCGUUAACGACCGCAUCACAACCUUCACCUCCGCCAUCUGCCUGAUGUUUGGCAGCUAUUACUGCUUUAACAUACACUACCCUGUGGAACUACGAUCAACACUGGAGUUCCUCCAACGGUGUUUCUUUUCCAUAAAUCCUGAGAGAGGCACCAAGGUUGAAUCCAAGAAGAAAAAAGUGUUCUCAGUCAAUCCCAGAGUCCUCACUCUCAUCUCAGACAUUGCUGACUAUGAGUGGAUCUAGUCCUACCCCUCUUGUUUUGGAUGAUAAAGGUGUGUUACAUAUUCUACAGAUGUUUUUGUUGUUGAAACAAUUGUUACAUUUCUGAAUGUCAGCGAAAAGUUUUUAACAAUUUGAAGUUUUACUAAACCAGAUUUGUUAAAGUACCG
Molecule: RNA transcript, 1604 nt
Organism: Archocentrus centrarchus (flier cichlid)
Lineage: Eukaryota; Metazoa; Chordata; Actinopteri; Cichliformes; Cichlidae
Exons: 6
Source: RefSeq, a predicted model, not a curated record